UAAUCUAAAAAAAUUAACACACCCUGUAUCAUUUGCAAACCUCUUCCACCGUCACAAACCACUUCAGUUUUCAAAAGUUGCAGACCUCGUCCACCGGCGCGAAAUCUGAAGACCAUACCUCUUAAUCAAACAUUCUCUGGGCUGGAUUUUCACCGAAUUCAAUAGCUCAUGUUCAAAGCGUCUUCAAUCUUCACCGAAUCACAAGAUGAUGAUACUGAGGCAGAACGUUUUUAUUUUUUAAAAAUUUUAGGGAUUAUUCAAGUUUGAACCUCUUUCUUCGAUUUUCAGAGAACCUUCAUGUUCGAUUUGACGUUCAUAUAACCCACCUGGGUUUCAUGAUCCUCACCCUAGUUUUUUCUAGGGUUUCGAAAUUGCAAAAGGCCUAACAAUUGAAGGGGUAAAUUGCAAAUCUGGAAAAGGCUUGUCGUAUAAGUCUGAAUCGCUAUCUACUUGCCGAGAGGUGGUAGCAGAUACGGUAUAAUUACUGUUGUUAUUGUAGUAGAAUAUGGCUAUGUUUGGUGGAAGGGUUGGAAACUUCCUGAUAUGAUGUUUGUUACAAGGUGCAGCUUAUCUGAUGCAUGCACUUCUAUAGCUAAACAGCUUGAGAAUGUUUACUCAUCGGUUUCGAUAGGGAGCUCAGCUCAGUUUAUCCUUUGUGAUAUGAUUCCGGUCCAGAAUAUAGUAGGUGCUCCGCUAAGCAUGGGAAGCACCUUUGGUUUGGAGGAGAAGUUAGAUACAAUUCAGAAGCUACUUGAGCAGCAACAACAGCUCCUUGAGCAGCAGCAGCAGCAACAACAACAACACAGCAUUUUCAUGAUUGCAUUCAGUUUAAAAUGAUGUUUUAAUUUUUGAUGAUGUUUGGAACCAUCUGAUGUUAAAGCAGCUAGUAGAUACUUUUAGUUCUUGAUUACAAAACUGGAGAAUUUGUAGUUUCAUCAUGAGAUUAAGAGCUCAUUUGUUGGCACUGUGUUGUGGUGAUAAUCUAUUUUUUUUUCUUUCUAGAAUGAUAUUGUGGAUGUAUGUACUUUUUAGUUAUGAUGUUUUGAUAUAUAAGGUGAAUAUGGUUUAA
Molecule: long non-coding RNA, 1069 nt
Organism: Cornus florida
Lineage: Eukaryota; Viridiplantae; Streptophyta; Magnoliopsida; Cornales; Cornaceae
Exons: 4
Source: RefSeq, a predicted model, not a curated record